CAAUUCUUUCGGGGCAGGGUGAAAUUCCCAACCGGCGGUAAUCUUUAUAAGAAAGCCCGCGACCUGUACGGUAAUUUUUACCGUAUGGCUGAUUCAGUUCAAGUCUGAAGCCGACAGUUAAAGUCUGGAUGGGAGAGAGAAUAA
RNAcentral lists this non-coding RNA (144 nucleotides) under Jeotgalicoccus saudimassiliensis. RNAcentral's name for it is "FMN riboswitch aptamer (RFN element)". It matches the Rfam family "FMN riboswitch aptamer (RFN element)". From Rfam's summary of the family: The RFN element is a highly conserved domain that is found frequently in the 5'-untranslated regions of prokaryotic mRNAs that encode for flavin mononucleotide (FMN) biosynthesis and transport proteins. The record is from Rfam by way of RNAcentral. RNAcentral also lists the same sequence under 1 other name. Lineage: Bacteria; Bacillati; Bacillota; Bacilli; Caryophanales; Staphylococcaceae.